GGUCUAUUAGUGUAGUGGUUAGCACGUGGGAUUUUGAUUGCCCUCCAAGCUCCAUCAACUCUUCCCGAGUCGCAGGUUCGAGCCCUGCAUAGACCU
Non-coding RNA from Coniochaeta pulveracea, 96 nucleotides. Lineage: Eukaryota; Fungi; Ascomycota; Sordariomycetes; Coniochaetales; Coniochaetaceae. The record is from the annotation of a GenBank genome assembly.